GGUCGUGUAGCUCAGUGGUUAGAGCGUUCGGCUUACAUCCGAAAGGCCGCAGGUUCAAAUCCUGCCACGACCA
Molecule: transfer RNA, 73 nt
Filed under: Candidatus Roizmanbacteria bacterium
Lineage: Bacteria; Candidatus Roizmaniibacteriota
Description: tRNA-Val
Rfam family: tRNA
About the family: Transfer RNA (tRNA) molecules are approximately 80 nucleotides in length. Their secondary structure includes four short double-helical elements and three loops (D, anti-codon, and T loops).
Source: RNAcentral